This is a long non-coding RNA of Caretta caretta (loggerhead turtle), 975 nucleotides long. RefSeq lists it as uncharacterized. NCBI's taxonomy places the organism in Eukaryota, Metazoa, Chordata, Testudines, Cheloniidae. The record is from RefSeq and is a predicted model, not a curated record.
GGGGAAAAGGACACAAACCUCUUCUGGAACCACAUCUUGAAAGCUAUCAUUCAGGGAGGAAUCUCCACUUCUAAAGAAAAUGCAAGCUCCUUUCGGCACAGAAUAAGAGUGAGAGAGCCACAGAUGAACUCCAUUAAAGGUCCUCUUGAGUGACUGAGCGAGUAGCUCCUCAGGUGUGGACAAGAGAACACAGCAAAUUGGCUUGCCCAGGACACCAUGGAAUUUGUGGUAUUCCUUGAGCACUAUAACAAGCUCUUAUGCAUGGCCCAUGUGACUGAACUUGUACUAAACGGCCUUUGUGCUAAUCUGAACAAAUAUUCCCUGACAAUAGCCCUGUCUACAUCUGCUUCUCAACCUGACUGUCCUGCCAGACAGUUGAAUACCCUGGAGGGUUAUAUUGCUGGGACAGAUAAUUUAAUUUCCUCUGUAGUGCUGUGGGCUUUGUGGCCUCCUGCUCCGUUCCCAUGGAGAUGACGUUCAUCUCACACAGAGACUAGUGUACAUCUUUUGCUGGACAGGGAAAAGCACUGAGGACACCAUGAGAUGAAAUCCCUUCUGGUAGCUUUGUAAUAGCUUAGAGAAGGCUCAAGCUUCCACAGGGAAUUGCACACAAAGUCCUGACCUCUCAGGGGUCGGGCAGAUGGCUUAACUACAUUCAGGUUCCAGCCAGCCUAGGUUCCCUCACCAUUCCAGCAGCUAGAAGAACUCUUCUGGGCGGUGUUUCAUCCAAACUGUAUGCUUCAUAAAUCAGAAGCAGAAAGGUGCAGGACUGAGAUUGCUAUAGCAACAAUAUCUAAGAUGCUCUAGCAUUGCUGUCAAAGUCUGGGUUUCUAUCGGCCCAGUAGAAUCUAUUCCCUACAGCCAUCUAGAGGACAGAAUCAAAACCUCCAAAUGCCUCUCAUUAGGAAUUACUGCAUUCUCAUGAUUUAUUUUUAAUAUUUCUAUUUUUAGUAAAAUGCUGGGAGCUGGGUUCUG